GGACCGAACAAGAGGUGAAAGGCAUGAAAAUAAUUGGGAUUAUAUUUCUUUUGUCGCACAUACCAUAUGUCCUUCACAAGGAGCCGAUGGGUGGUUAGAUAGGGAUUAGUGUUUAGGUCUAAUUCAAACACCUUUUGAAUUCAAACCCUAACAACCCGUUCCUAUCCUAAGUGGGCAACAAAGAGAGGUGUUUACUGGGGUAUAUCUCAUGCACAAAUCAGAUUCAUGCAUCAGGAUAGGCAUGA
This 245-nucleotide long non-coding RNA is filed under the name Elaeis guineensis (African oil palm). RNAcentral describes it as "long non-coding RNA (EGUI_LNC058049)". Lineage: Eukaryota; Viridiplantae; Streptophyta; Magnoliopsida; Arecales; Arecaceae. The record is from RNAcentral.